AGGUAAGGAGAUAGGAUGCACUGAGAGGGAGUGUCUCCUAUAGAUACGGAUGGGAAGGAGGUAAGGAGAUAGGAUGCACUGAGAGGGAGUGUCUCCUAUAGAUACGGAUGGGAAGGAGGUAAGGAGAUAGGAUGCACUGAGAGGGAGCGUCUCCUAUAGAUACGGAUGGGAAGGAGGUAAGGAGAUAGGAUGCACUGAGAGGGAGCGUCUCCUAUAGAUACGGAUGGGAAGGAGGUAAGGAGAUAGGAUGCACUGAGAGGGAGCGUCUCCUAUAGAUACGGAUGGGAAGGAGGUAAGGAGAUAGGAUGCACUGAGAGGGAGCGUCUCCUAUAGAUACGGAUGGGAAGGAGGUAAGGAGAUAGGAUGCACUGAGAGGGAGUGUCUCCUAUAGAUACGGAUGGGAAGGAGGUAAGGAGAUAGGAUGCACUGAGAGGGAGCGUCUCCUAUAGAUACGGAUGGGAAGGAGGUAAGGAGAUAGGAUGCACUGAGAGGGAGCGUCUCCUAUAGAUACGGAUGGGAAGGAGGUAAGGAGAUAGGAUGCACUGAGAGGGAGCGUCUCCUAUAGAUACGGAUGGGAAGGAAGCAGGUAAGGAGAUAGGAUGCACUGAGAGGGAGUGUCUCCUAUAGAUACGGAUGGGAAGGAAGCAGGUAAGGAGAUAGGAUGCACUGAGAGGGAGCGUCUCCUAUAGAUACGGAUGGGAAGGAGGUAAGGAGAUAGGAUGCACUGAGAGGGAGCGUCUCCUAUA
Long non-coding RNA from Oncorhynchus keta (chum salmon), 746 nucleotides. RefSeq lists it as uncharacterized. The record is from RefSeq and is a predicted model, not a curated record. Lineage: Eukaryota; Metazoa; Chordata; Actinopteri; Salmoniformes; Salmonidae. The transcript is spliced from 6 exons.